ACUGCUCAGUAACACGUGGAUAACCUGCCCAAGGGUCCGGGAUAACCCCGGGAAACUGGGGAUAAUACCGGAUGGAUCACUUAUGCUGGAAUGCUUGGUGGUCGAAAGGUGACGCCCUUGGAUGGGUCUGCGGCGGAUUAGGUUGACGCCGGUGUAACGUACCGGCGUGCCUGUAAUCCGUACGGGUUGUGGGAGCAAGAGCCCGGAGAUGGAUUCUGAGACACGAAUCCAGGCCCUACGGGGCGCAGCAGGCGCGAAAACUCUACAAUGCAGGCAACUGCGAUAGGGGGACAUCGAGUGGCAUCCACCUUGGGUGCCUGUCCCACCGUCUAAAAAACGGUGGUUAGCAAGGGCCGGGCAAGACCGGUGCCAGCCGCCGCGGUAAUACCGGCGGCUCGAGUGGUGGCCGAUAUUAUUGAGUCUAAAGGGUCCGUAGCCGGCUUUGCAAGUCCCCUGGGAAAUCCAGCGGCUUAACCGUUGGGCUUUCAUGGGAUACUACAUUGCUUGGGACUGGGAGAGGUAGGAGGUACUCGGGGGGUAGGGGUGAAAUCCUGUAAUCCCCCGGGGACCACCGGUGGCGAAGGCGUCCUACCAGAACAGGUCCGACGGUGAGGGACGAAAGCUAGGGGCACGAACCGGAUUAGAUACCCGGGUAGUCCUAGCCGUAAACGAUGCCCGCUAGGUGUCACGGCGGUCGUGAAUCGCCGUGGUGCCGUAGGGAAGCCGCGAAGCGGGCCACUUGGGAAGUACGGCCGCAAGGCUGAAACUUAAAGGAAUUGGCGGGGGAGCAC
Molecule: ribosomal RNA, 791 nt
Filed under: uncultured archaeon
Lineage: Archaea
Also listed under: 1 other name
Description: bacterial SSU rRNA
Rfam family: Archaeal small subunit ribosomal RNA
Source: RNAcentral